AUUACCGCGGCUGCUGGCACGGAGUUAGCCGGUGCUUCUUCUGCGAGUAACGUCAAUGAACAGUGCUAUUAACACUGAACCCUUCCUCCUCGCUGAAAGUGCUUUACAACCCUAAGGCCUUCUUCACACACGCGGCAUGGCUGCAUCAGGCUUGCGCCCAUUGUGCAAUAUUCCCCACUGCUGCCUCCCGUAGG
RNAcentral lists this ribosomal RNA (194 nucleotides) under uncultured gamma proteobacterium WkB23. RNAcentral describes it as "partial 16S ribosomal RNA". Lineage: Bacteria; Pseudomonadati; Pseudomonadota; Gammaproteobacteria. The record is from RNAcentral. RNAcentral also lists the same sequence under 1 other name.